This 337-nucleotide long non-coding RNA is filed under the name Ananas comosus (pineapple). RNAcentral describes it as "long non-coding RNA (ACOM_LNC033893)". Lineage: Eukaryota; Viridiplantae; Streptophyta; Magnoliopsida; Poales; Bromeliaceae. The record is from RNAcentral.
AUGUUUAUGAUUGCAAAAAUUUCUUCUUGCGCUAGUAUUAUGUGAUUUAAAGUGUCAUUUUCACACGCUAUAAUUUUAUUUUUUGGCUAUUUUUUUACUAUUUUUUUAUUUAAUUAGUGACAAAAUUAAAAUUAAAAGAUACCUAAGUAAAUUAUAAAUAGGGUAUCUAAAAUUUGUUGUAUAUGAUUUAACGAAAAGUUAACGAAGAGAUUGGUGAAAAAAAAAAACCACCAAACACUAAAUUGAUACAUUUUAAACCAUAUGAUACUAAAAUGAGAAAUUGUGAAAUUACUGGGAUGGUAUUUGAAGAUUACCCUUUAUAAUUUUUAUUUUUAUU